CCCGCCCCCGCAGCCCCGCCCCGCCCCGCCGCGAGCGAGGGCGGGGACCGCUGCGCCUACCUGCCUUUCCCUCCAUAGGGACUUCCCAAAGGAAAGGAGGGCGUUUAGGGGCUUUCACACGCCUGAUCUUAAACACAGCGCCCUGACCCCUCCCCACCAAAAACGGCAAAAUGUCAUUUUUGGGGGCAAAUCUAAGGUUUUCCCUACAAUUGUUCAAGCUUUCACACUAAAACAUUUACCUAAAAACGGGCAGAAAUUCAGCCUUAAACCCACAAAUCUCACGAUGGUAUAGACCCUGGGCCCACUCAGGUUUCCUGAAAACUAAACAGUUCUGGAGUUAGGGGUUUGGAGAACGGGCUAUUGUUAAAGAAAAAAGUAUUUAGUGACACUUGUUAAAGCACAAAAAGAGGGCUUUAUUCAGGACCAUCGCAACAGGUAUAGGGACCACUGACUGCAAUGGAGACUUGCAGUAGGGAAAGAGAUAUUGGGCUCAACUCCUCAUACAGCAUGGGCAAGUGGAGAUUUAUAGCCAAGGAGCGGUGGUGCAUUAGUAUUACUACUGGGCUCCAAGUUCCUCAUCUGAAAUCUGUCUCCUCUGGAAAUACUUAUUUACAAGACGACGUUUCUUGUCACAACGCAGGUUUAAACAGCAGCUUUUAAAUGUUUACUGUGGGAAGAAUAGUCAAGGGAGUGGUGCGUUGGGAAGACAGACCAGAGUUUGCUGCUGGCACUGUUACGCAGGGACUGUUUGGCAUGACCUUCACUCCUUUUCUGGUUCUUUGGUCUUUCUAAGGUGGCCUCAAUUUCUUUAUCAGUAAAUAAGAUUAUCUCUGAGAUGUCAUUCACUCAAAUAGCCAUUUUAUAAAAAUCUACUUGCAUCUUCAACUUCAUUCACUGUGGAUUCGUUGUUUUCCUUUAUCUAGUUUUUACAUUUUACCUUUCAAGCCGGUGCUAUUGCUCUCACUCCCCCGCUUAAAAACCUCCACUGGUUUCCUCCUCCACUUUUUUUUUUUUUUUAAAGAAAUCCUAAACUUUUAGAAUGGAAAAUACGGUGUUUUCAUAAUCAUGCCAGCCUUCUCACUGUUUCUGCCUCCCCGUAACUCCACAGAACCUACUGUUCCCACAGCCCUUUUAUGCGUGGAAACCUUUAAGUGGGCUCUUCUCUUUGCCUAAAAUGUGAUCCCCGCUGGCAGAAACAUACAUUAUCUUAAAAACUGAUUUAGCCGGCAGGGCGUGGUGGCUCAUGCCUGUAAUCCCAGCGCACUUUGGGAGGUCGAGGCGGGGAGAUCAUGAGGUCAGUAGUUCGAGACCAGCAUGACCAACAUGGUGAAACCCCAUCUCUACUAAAAAUACAAAAAUUAGCUGGGUGUGGUGGCGCACGCCUGUAAUCCCAGCUACUCAGGAGGCUGAGGGAGGAGAAUUAAUUGAACCCGGGAGGCAGAGGUUGGAGUGAGCCAAGAUGGUGCCACUGCACUCCAGCCUGGGAGACAGAGUGAGACUCCAUCUCAAAA
This 1511-nucleotide long non-coding RNA is filed under the name Homo sapiens (human). RNAcentral describes it as "HSALNT0210259". Lineage: Eukaryota; Metazoa; Chordata; Mammalia; Primates; Hominidae. The record is from RNAcentral.